RNA transcript from Cephus cinctus (wheat stem sawfly), 2485 nucleotides. RefSeq lists it as uncharacterized. The record is from RefSeq and is a predicted model, not a curated record. Lineage: Eukaryota; Metazoa; Arthropoda; Insecta; Hymenoptera; Cephidae. The transcript is spliced from 9 exons.
CCAACUAGAAAAUUUCCAACAAAAUCUUCACUGACGUAUGUGAUCUGAGUGGUUUCUUAAAUCUACAGGAAGUGGAUAACCGACGUAGGCUUACGACCUAACCUAUAACUGCUGUAGGAACAUCAUAAAGAGAAUAAUGAGAAAAGACGGAAAAUGCGGAUCCGAGUCUCUUCCUGAGCAAAAGAAUGAUAUUUACGGGAUAUUCUAAGUAACAAUGAACUGACUUCGAGUCUGUGGCCAAGAGAGCGGGAACUUCGGUGCACAAUGGCCGACGGGCAAUUUGUCAUCGAUGAUUUGCAGUUCUGGUGCCUCCCUGUACUGAUUCCUGGGGAUUCCUUUCAACGUGAAAUCUCGUGCCUUUUUCUACGUAUCUCUUUGCUCCUCUGGUUCUAUGAACUGUUUGCCUCUUUGGUUUCCUUCUAGAAGUGGAGUUUUCAUAGUUCUGACACAAGGGUGAGGAAGUGCUGGAGGUUAGUUGCCAAAAGGCGACCCUUUCAAUCGACGAGUAGCAGUUGGGCGUCCGGGGUCAGAGAUUCGACGCGCUCUCGAACUGUUUGCGCAAUUUCACGGCCACUUCAGGCAGAUCGGGCAAAUUGCUCAGAUCAUUGGGACUCUCGUUGAGAACCGUCACUGCCACUAAUCGCUGUCGUCGACUCCUAAUUGAGAAAGAGGCGACCAGCAAGCAAGCAGAUCUCAACUCUCAAGUCUGAGCCAAGUCUCGUAAGACUAGUUUGAUAUCUUUUUUUUACUGUAUCGACAAUCCGCUGGACUCAUGUGUGAAGGAAUAACGAUAUAUGGAUGGUUCCACCCUUUCAUGGUACUACAGACCUGAAAUUGUCAGGCCCUUCUCUCAAUUUCCCUUUAUUUGACAUUUAAAUGCUCCUUUACGCGAUUUCCGUUACAAUUUCGGCCAAUUCCUUAGACUGUCCGCCUCAGGGUAUCCUCUGCUAUUGGUCCACGCCCCGCUGACUGGACUGUUUUUUAUUGCCGCGGUUCCAAUGGGAGAAAAAGAGUUGUCCAUCCAACUGAUCCACGUACAAUGGCAUUGGCGAUGACAAUAGUUCUCAGUAGUGUAGACCAGGGUGUAGUAGGGAGUAAAAUUUCACCUGUCAUCCUAUUAGAUGGAAAUAAUUAUCUGGACCAUGGUUCUUCACACUAUGGUCAAGUCCCUAAAAAAUUACCAGAACAUUAAUUACAGUAGUAUUCAUACAACGCUAUAGCUAUAUUGCUAAAAGGACUUUGAAAAUUGGUAUAAUUUCAUACCUUAAACUGUUUACGAUGGAAUUAAAUGUAAUUGUCAAGAUUACACCAGGCGCAUUACACCCCAGCGUUAAUCACUAUAACAAGGUAGCUAUAUACAUCGUGUAUUUCGACUACCGUUUCAUAAGUCAAACACCACGUUCUUUGGUGCGCCGACACCUAAAACACCGUCUGCAUACCAAAACGGCCAACCGUAAUGUCCGCCAUGAUUGCGACACACGUAUCUUCUUUAUUAACCUGCCGACCAUUGAGAACGAAGAGUAAAGCAGAUUUAACCAAUUUUUAUUGUGACAAAUUUGUAUCAAUAUUUUUUUUGGUAAUAUUUAAGUGUAAAAGAUUCUCAUAGAAUAUCAAUAUGCCGUGGAUAAGGUUUUUUUGCAAAAGAAAUAAAUUAUACCACAGGGACUGUGUAUGGUUAAAAUUGCAAACGUAACCCAGCCGAGGGUUGCAUUAUUUUAUUAGUGGGUUUGCGGGCACGAGGCAAUAAUUCACGUUAUUAAUACGCCGUAACAGCGGACUGCUAAUGGUACAAGGGUAGCAUUUAAGGGUGAGCAUUGAGGGUCUCCCCACUUUUGAAUUACCACCUCAUUUAUAUUUCACGUGUGAGUUAAGCGCGCGCUUCCUUCCCGACCCGAGGACAACUAUUAAUUUUUAUAUAAAAAAUUUAAUUCUCAACUAUAUCUGGUAAUUGAAGGGCGCUCGAUUAACCCUCAAAUAUAAUUUAUUUCUUGGCUAUAAAUACUGCAGUCCCCCUCCAUUCUCGUUGCAUAUGAUGAAUUGUAACAGCUCAAUGCAAUUCUUACAUAACUAAUGUCGUUUUUCAUCUAAAAAUAUGAUGUAUCUUGAUAAUUAAUAAAAAAAAAAGUAUCCAUAGAAUAUUGUCGUUUCUUAUAAAAUCAAGUGAAAUCUUCAUCCUCCAUUUUCACAGAGAGUGAAUACGAAGGAUUCCUCAGGAACGAAAUGAUGGGUGUGACCGGUCUCGAUGGUAUCGGGUGUUUGUUUAAAUAAUUGAAUGCUUUGGGAUGUGUAUAUCUUCAAGUCGGCAUCUGAGCAGGCAAUAUGUAUGAUAAUUUUUACAUGCCCACACCUUAUAAUAGGUCUACUACAGUAUACACAGUCGUAUAGUCAGUAUACGUUAACUGGUUAAGAUCCAACGUAUUUCCAUCAGCUUGAAUGCACGUUGUCCUCGUAAAUUAUUAUAUUAAUGCGACGGAGGAGCUUUCAU